CAAGGGCUGAGGGGGACUGCUGCGGCCUCGUGGUGGAAUCUGGUUUGCAACGCGAUUUGUGCAGUCCGUGUUACAAACGUUGCAGGCAAUUCCGAGACCCCCUCCGUGACUUCAUCAGAGGGUUUAUGUGGAGCUUCAGAACUGUAUGGAACCAAUUGUGAGAAGAAUAACCUACUACUGGUUUACUGCAAGACAGAUGAUGUAAGAAUCUGCAGAAAUCUGCUGUUUGCGUUCUUGAACACAUGGUGGGAGGCUUUCCUACAGUUUCUUCUAUAGGUCCGGGAGCAGCUCCCAGAGUUGUGGUGAUGAGUAGACAAGAACUUCUGGGGAGGAUGGUUUACCUGCAUCCUCAUCGGUGUCUGAAGAAGAAUGAAGGAAGAUUUCGCUUCUUCACUCUUUUCUCUCCCCUUGUCUAGAAGCUUUGGUAAAAUGGAGCAAGCAGGAAGCCCAGAAUCGGUAGAUUUAUUUUCAAGAGCAGGAAGAAGGCUGUGGAUGCUCCUGGCUGCCUCUCUCCCUUUGCUACCACUCCUCUCAGUGUCAGGGUAGCGGGGUGUCCAAGAGCUAAAAUGGAAAGCACAUGGCUUUGCAACUUAACAAUUGAAAUAAAGAAAUCUAAUAUGACA
Molecule: long non-coding RNA, 623 nt
Filed under: Chrysolophus pictus (golden pheasant)
Lineage: Eukaryota; Metazoa; Chordata; Aves; Galliformes; Phasianidae
Description: lncRNA (ENSCPIG00010013108.1)
Source: RNAcentral